Aedes aegypti (yellow fever mosquito) is the source of this 784-nucleotide long non-coding RNA. RefSeq lists it as uncharacterized. The record is from RefSeq and is a predicted model, not a curated record. The transcript is spliced from 3 exons. NCBI's taxonomy places the organism in Eukaryota, Metazoa, Arthropoda, Insecta, Diptera, Culicidae.
AUUAGGUCAUAUGAAUAAAACCGAGUACUUGCUCAUGCUCAACACGAUUUAAGCAAAGUAAAGUCUCUGAGCAUUUACUCAAAACCAUAUGAAUAAAACGAUACUUUACUCAGAAAGAAAGCCAGCGGUGCACAAAGUGGUGUUUUUCUAUGGAAGUGCCUUUGCGGAUCUCAUCCGCUUUUUGCCGUACCAAUUGAAAAAGCCGUGUCGUCUUUUGCCGGCUGAUGACGGAGCCACAAACCCCGGGGGAACUCAACCGCCAGUUUCACUCCCUCCUGGGAUACGUGAAGGGAGAACACCGAUUCGAUGCGGCGCAAACGGAAUUCAGCGCUACCGAUGACCGUGAUCGGUCUUUUCGUAAAGCAAUCGGUGAGUGGUUAGCUACCGUGGCCUCAAGUGGAAUCGGUACCGAAGUGCUAAUCAAAGCACCAGCAGAAUGAAUAACAGCAGCAAGAUCUUCAGAAUCAGCUAAACGAGGGAAAUUCCGGUCGACACCAACGAAAACCGUUUCCAUCAUGAGACCCACCGCACAAUGAACGGAAGGGCACCAGUGUGAGCAUGCCACGGUCAACCCGGAAAACUAACGUGUUGCUGUCAGUGUUGUUCCUGCGAUGGCUGUUAAAAUCUUCAUCGGGCUACAUUGGCGUAAGAAGAUCGAGAUCCCUACGGAUGGUGUCCGGUGCUGGAGGAUCUUUCUCGAGAGGAUUUAGAACAUAAGAAAAAAAUAUAAACUAAAAUGUAAAACCAAUCGUGAAAAUUUCUAAAAAGGGUGUGUUUCUCAAAA